UACGUAGGGUGCAAGCGUUAUCCUGAAUUAUUGGUCGUAAAGAGCUCGUAGGCGGUUUGUCGCGUCUGCCGUUAAAACUGGAGGCUCAACCUCCAGCCUGCGGUGGGUACGGGCAAACUAGAGUGCGGUAGGGGAGAUUGGAAUUCCUGGUGUAGCGGUGGAAUGCGCACAUAUCAGGAGGAACACCGGUGGCGAAGGCGGCAUCCUGGACCAACACUGACGCUGAGGAGCGAAAGCCAGGGGAGCAAACGGG
This 253-nucleotide ribosomal RNA is filed under the name uncultured bacterium. RNAcentral describes it as "partial 16S ribosomal RNA". It matches the Rfam family "Bacterial small subunit ribosomal RNA", at positions 524 to 776 of the family's 1533-position model. The record is from RNAcentral.